UACCUGCAGCCCAAGUGGUGCUCGUUAUUAUUGGGUCUAAAACGUCCGUAGUCGGCUGAGUAGAUGCCCGGGUAAAUCGCAGCGCUCAACGUUGCGAAUUCCGGGUAGACCGCUCGGCUAGGGAGUGGGAGAGGUGCGAGGUACUCUGAGGGUAGGGGUAAAAUCCUGUAAUCCUUGGGGGACCACCAGUGGCGAAGGCGUCGCACUAGAACACGUCCGACGAUCAGGGACGAAGCCCUGGGGCGCAAACGGG
This 253-nucleotide ribosomal RNA is filed under the name uncultured bacterium. Its description in RNAcentral is "partial 16S ribosomal RNA". It matches the Rfam family "Archaeal small subunit ribosomal RNA", at positions 474 to 727 of the family's 1478-position model. The record is from RNAcentral.